GUUCAAAAUGCAGUGAUGUCUUUUCUAAGCAUGUAUCUGAUUGUUCUGUGUGGAAAAUGAGUGUUGCUGUGUAAUUUUUGGAU
This 83-nucleotide small nucleolar RNA is filed under the name Acanthisitta chloris (rifleman). RNAcentral describes it as "Small nucleolar RNA SNORD121A". It matches the Rfam family "Small nucleolar RNA SNORD121A". The record is from Rfam by way of RNAcentral. Lineage: Eukaryota; Metazoa; Chordata; Aves; Passeriformes; Acanthisittidae.